ACGUAACACUCCUACACUCCGAUUACUCCGCGCCGUCCGCACCCACCUGACACCUGCUCGCUACGUUUUGUUAGCA
Molecule: small RNA, 76 nt
Filed under: Xanthomonas vesicatoria
Lineage: Bacteria; Pseudomonadati; Pseudomonadota; Gammaproteobacteria; Lysobacterales; Lysobacteraceae
Also listed under: 1 other name
Description: sX9
Rfam family: Xanthomonas sRNA sX9
Source: RNAcentral